Molecule: ribosomal RNA, 497 nt
Filed under: uncultured bacterium
Lineage: Bacteria
Description: partial 16S ribosomal RNA
Rfam family: Bacterial small subunit ribosomal RNA
Source: RNAcentral
GAUGAACGCUGGCGGCGUGCCUAAUACAUGCAAGUCGAGCGAACAGACGAGGAGCUUGCUCCUCUGACGUUAGCGGCGGACGGGUGAGUAACACGUGGAUAACCUACCUAUAAGACUGGGAUAACUUCGGGAAACCGGAGCUAAUACCGGAUAAUAUAUUGAACCGCAUGGUUCAAUAGUGAAAGACGGUUUUGCUGUCACUUAUAGAUGGAUCCGCGCCGCAUUAGCUAGUUGGUAAGGUAACGGCUUACCAAGGCAACGAUGCGUAGCCGACCUGAGAGAGUGAUCGGCCACACUGGAACUGAGACACGGUCCAGACUCCUACGGGAGGCAGCAGUAGGGAAUCUUCCGCAAUGGGCGAAAGCCUGACGGAGCAACGCCGCGUGAGUGAUGAAGAUCUUCGGAUCGUAAAACUCUGUUAUUAGGGAAGAACAAAUGUGUAAGUAACUAUGCACGUCUUGACGGUACCUAAUCAGAAAGCCACGGCUAACUACGUG